AAGUACCCUGACCUACGAUAAAAUAGUCGGUCUUAACACAUCAAAAAGUGUUAUGGUAUGUUUUGAUCACACAUUUUUUGUGUUAUUAAAAACAUUUUUUAUUGUAGUGACUCUCUCUCUCUCUCGACUCUCUCUCUCAUCCUCUAGAAGACUUAGUUGAUUUUUGGAGUUUUGGAGGAGAAAUUCAAAACUAAAGCUUGGUGCUUGGGGAGGAUAAGCCUAGGGUGCUGGAGAGCUGGAUUAAGCUCGAAAAUCUUCAUUGAGGUAAGGUCACUUUCAAUUUUUGAGGAUCAAUUCUGUUGAGAUUUAAUUUAGUUGAUUUCUUGGACUUAAGACUUGCUUUGUUGAGAAUUAGGAUGAGUUAGUUAGUUUCCGGGGUUCUAGCACUGCUUAAGGUAUAUUAGAAUAAUUGUGGGACUCAAUUAUGAUUUUGGGGUAUGUUUAGAAUGAUAAAGUUAGCUCGUAGAAUUUCAUGGAAUUUCUAGGUUUGGAGGCUCGAGCCGCCGCCCUGUUCUUUAGGCAUCGCAGCCCGUGUGUGUCGAAGAGGCUGGAAGCCUCUGUCUGCCAGGUGAGCCGCGACCCAAUGUUUGGAGUGCCACAGCCUGUGUCCCUCAACAGAGAGGCAUUUUUCCUCUGACUUGAGCGUGACGCAGCCCUUAAGUGGCUGGGCUGCGGCUCAAAUUCAAAAUAUUGGCUGUUUGAAGGUUUUUAGCUCAGGAUCCCAAGGUCCCCAAGGCUAGAAUUAUGUUCCGAACUUAUUUAUUGGAUUAGAUAUUGAUGGAUGGCUAUUAUGAAUGUAUUUUGACUAGGUUUUCAGUGAGUCUCGGGUUAGAGGACUGUGCUCGAGAUUGUGGUGCUCAGGAAACUUGGGACAUAGUGCAUAUUUGUGAAUGAACGACGAAGACCAAAAAUAGCGAAGGUCGAGAACGGCAGGAAGCCGAGUACGGCAAGGGGCCGAGAACGGCAUUGAGCACGCAGAGUGGAGAGCUGAGUUCCAUAAGGGGAUGGGAACGACAUUGGGCACGCAGAGUGCAAGCUGUUAGGGCGUGACCCUCCUAGGAUGCUGGAGUCAUCCUCUAGGUGAAGACUGCAAACCCAGGGCCUGGUAAGGACAAGGGAAAGGUCGACCAACCAUGAGCACGGAGAGAGUGGAGCGAUGGGUACAUGUUCAGCCUGCCUAGCCGCCACGACUAGGGUUGUUUUGGGAAAAUGAAAUGUACUGUAAUAGUUGUUUUGUCGCUAAGUCGACCACGUGUACAUUUUUCUUUGUAACAUAUUUUCUAAAUAGAAUUUUGGGAUCCCAACUGUAAAACUUUCUAAGAUUUCAAUGAAUAACCAAAUGUUUUAUA
Molecule: long non-coding RNA, 1349 nt
Organism: Humulus lupulus (European hop)
Lineage: Eukaryota; Viridiplantae; Streptophyta; Magnoliopsida; Rosales; Cannabaceae
Exons: 3
Source: RefSeq, a predicted model, not a curated record